UGGGGAAUUUUGGACCAUGGGCGAAAGCCUGAUCCAGCCAUGCCGCGUGAGUGAAGAAGGCCUUCGGGUUGUAAAGCUCUUUUAGUCGGAAAGAAAGAGUCGCAAUGAAUAAUUGUGAUUUAUGACGGUACCGACAGAAAGAGCACCGGCUAACUACGUGCCAGCAGCCGCGGUAAUACGUAGGGUGCGAGCGUUAAUCGGAAUUACUGGGCGUAAAGGGUGCGCAGGCGGUCUUGCAAGUCAGAUGUGAAAGCCCCGGGCUUAACCUGGGAAUUGCGUUUGAAACUACAAGACUAGAGUGCAGCAGAGGGGAGUGGAAUUCCAUGUGUAGCAGUGAAAUGCGUAGAGAUGUGGAAGAACACCGAUGGCGAAGGCAGCUCCCUGGGUUGACACUGACGCUCAUGCACGAAAGCGUGGGGAGCAAACA
RNAcentral lists this ribosomal RNA (427 nucleotides) under uncultured beta proteobacterium. RNAcentral's name for it is "bacterial SSU rRNA". It matches the Rfam family "Bacterial small subunit ribosomal RNA", at positions 355 to 774 of the family's 1533-position model. The record is from RNAcentral. Lineage: Bacteria; Pseudomonadati; Pseudomonadota; Betaproteobacteria.